AAACACCACCAAACUUUCAUCUUAAAUCAACAUGCAAUUCCAUAAAUAGGUUCCUCUCAUCUCAAGCUCCAAGGUAAGGGUAAUUUUAUAUCAAACAUCCAUGAAUUUCCUUUGAAUUCUUGCUGUGUUCAUCACAUUUUAAGAACUCAAUUAUGAACUUGAUUGCAUGUGUGAGAUCCUGAUGGUGUUCAAGUUUUACAGAGAAGUUAUAGGUAAGAACCAUAAACUUUUUUUCCUUCUUCUAUUCAAGUUAAAACCCAAAACACAAUUCUUCACUUCUUCUCAUUUGGUAAAUUGCAUGUGAGUUUAAUGGAAUUGAGAUUCUCUAGGAAUAUAUCAGAAGCAAUGAACAUGGGUACAAGAUGCAAGCUUUGGAAUUUUGAUCGGUGAUUUUUGAAGAAGUUUGGGUUAAACCCGUGUUCUAGGAUAAGGCUCCACUAAAAAGGCAAAUUCUCACUCCUCGUAACUCUGAUUGAGAUACCGUUUGUUUCUGUGGUUAGCUAACUCAAUUCCGGUCGUUGUGACGCCAAUUUCAUAUUUUUUGAUUAGGAAAUGAGGUCUAGGGACGCGUUUGAAGUUGAGGUACUGAAGCUGUCAAAAUGGUGUUUUGAGGACUACAGGUUUGGGUACUCAAGCGGCACAAAAGGAUGGUUUUAGGCUUGCGAAAUAACGUCGUACUGUUGUUAAAUCUGGUGGGUUCCUUUAAGUAAACUCUCACUUAAUAGAGUAGCUUUAUUAGCUUUUCCCCAAAUUCAUGAUGCAUGUCAACUUAGGAUUUUUAGGAUUAAUUAGGAUAACUCUACUAAUUAAUGAUUUAAACAAGNNNNNNNNNNNNNNNNNNNNNNNNNNNNNNNNCCCUUAGCAUGAUUGAAAUGACUAUAUGUUGUGGAAUUUAGGAUAAACCAGAGUUGCUAGCGGUGGUUUUUGUGUUGAUUUGAUUACACUACUCACUAUUCAAAGAGAUUAGUAAACAUGUUAUUGUUAUGUAGACCUACCUUUAAGAUAUGUUAAUUUAUAGACUUAAUUGAUGAUCUUGCAUUGUGCAAAACAAAGUUAAAGCUUUGAUUUUUAAUGAUGUAUGUUUUGUGGGAUUUGUUUGUUUGUGUUGGACACAG
This 1115-nucleotide long non-coding RNA is filed under the name Trifolium pratense (red clover). Its description in RNAcentral is "long non-coding RNA (TPRA_LNC011965)". Lineage: Eukaryota; Viridiplantae; Streptophyta; Magnoliopsida; Fabales; Fabaceae. The record is from RNAcentral.